RNAcentral lists this non-coding RNA (90 nucleotides) under Pseudomonas helmanticensis. Lineage: Bacteria; Pseudomonadati; Pseudomonadota; Gammaproteobacteria; Pseudomonadales; Pseudomonadaceae. The record is from RNAcentral.
UGUGGGAGCUGGCUUGCCAGCGAUGGCGAUUUAGCAGUCACCAUUUUUAUAAACUGACAGUCCGCUAUCGCUGGCAAGCCAGCUCCCACA